RNAcentral lists this transfer RNA (55 nucleotides) under Anabropsis guangxiensis. RNAcentral describes it as "tRNA-Glu". Lineage: Eukaryota; Metazoa; Arthropoda; Insecta; Orthoptera; Anostostomatidae. The record is from RNAcentral.
AUUUAUAUAGUUUAAAAUAAAACAAUACAUUUUCAUUGUAUAAAUAAUAUAAAUA